CGAACGCUGGCGGCGUGCCUAAUACAUGCAAGUCGAACGCGUCUUGGUCAAUGAUUUUAGGUGCUUGCACUUGACUGAUUUGACAUUAAGACGAGUGGCGAACUGGUGAGUAACACGUGGGUAACCUGCCCUUGAAGUAGAGGAUAACACUUGGAAACAGGUGCUAAUACUGCAUAACAACGAAAACCGCCUGGUUUUCGUUUGAAAGAUGGCUUCGGCUAUCGCUUUAGGAUGGACCCGCGGCGUAUUAGCUAGUUGGUGAGGUAACGGCUCACCAAGGCAAUGAUACGUAGCCGACCUGAGAGGGUAAUCGGCCACAUUGGGACUGAGACACGGCCCAAACUCCUACGGGAGGCAGCAGUAGGGAAUCUUCCACAAUGGACGAAAGUCUGAUGGAGCAACGCCGCGUGAGUGAUGAAGGGUUUCGGCUCGUAAAACUCUGUUGUUGGAGAAGAACGGGUGUCAGAGUAACUGUUGACAUCGUGACGGUAUCCAACCAGAAAGCCACGGCUAACUACGUGCCAGCAGCCGCGGUAAUACGUAGGUGGCAAGCGUUGUCCGGAUUUAUUGGGCGUAAAGCGAGCGCAGGCGGUUUUUUAGGUCUGAUGUGAAAGCCUUCGGCUUAACCGGAGAAGUGCAUCGGAAACCGGGAGACUUGAGUGCAGAAGAGGACAGUGGAACUCCAUGUGUAGCGGUGAAAUGCGUAGAUAUAUGGAAGAACACCAGUGGCGAAGGCGGCUGUCUGGUCUGCAACUGACGCUGAGGCUCGAAAGCAUGGGUAGCGAACAGGAUUAGAUACCCUGGUAGUCC
RNAcentral lists this ribosomal RNA (810 nucleotides) under Lentilactobacillus diolivorans. RNAcentral's name for it is "bacterial SSU rRNA". It matches the Rfam family "Bacterial small subunit ribosomal RNA", at positions 30 to 796 of the family's 1533-position model. The record is from RNAcentral. Lineage: Bacteria; Bacillati; Bacillota; Bacilli; Lactobacillales; Lactobacillaceae.